This 388-nucleotide ribosomal RNA is filed under the name uncultured prokaryote. Its description in RNAcentral is "bacterial SSU rRNA". It matches the Rfam family "Archaeal small subunit ribosomal RNA", at positions 339 to 727 of the family's 1478-position model. The record is from RNAcentral. RNAcentral also lists the same sequence under 1 other name.
GCGCGAAAACUGUGCAAUGCGCGAAAGCGCGACACGGGGAGCCUGAGUGCCUUGGCUUUUUGUCAAGGCUUUUCUGAUGCCUAAAAAGCAUCAGGAAUAAGGGCUGGGCAAGACGGGUGCCAGCCGCCGCGGUAACACCCGCAGCUCGAGUGGUGAUCACUUUUAUUGAGUCUAAAGCGUUCGUAACCGGUCUUAUAAAUCUUCAGAUAAAUUCUUCCGCUUAACGGAAGAACUUCUGAAGAGACUGUAAGACUUGGGACCGGGUGAGGUUGAAUGUACUUUCAGGGUAGGGGUAAAAUCCUGUAAUCCUGAAAGGACGACCGGUGGCGAAAGCGUUCAACUAGAACGGAUCCGACGGUGAGGGACGAAGGCUAGGGGAGCAAACCGG